RNAcentral lists this ribosomal RNA (438 nucleotides) under uncultured bacterium. RNAcentral describes it as "partial 16S ribosomal RNA". It matches the Rfam family "Bacterial small subunit ribosomal RNA", at positions 339 to 795 of the family's 1533-position model. The record is from RNAcentral.
CUACGGGAGGUCCAGUGGGGAAUAUUGCACAAUGGAGGAAACUCUGAUGCAGCAACGCCGCGUGGAGGAUGACACUUUUCGGAGCGUAAACUCCUUUUAUAUAGGAAGAAGAUGACGGUACUAUAAGAAUAAGCGCCGGCUAACUCCGUGCCAGCAGCCGCGGUAAUACGGAGGGCGCAAGCGUUACUCGGAAUCACUGGGCGUAAAGAGCGUGUAGGCGGAUUAAAAAGUCAGAAGUGAAAUCCUAUAGCUUAACUAUAGAACUGCUUCUGAAACUCUUAAUCUAGAAUAUGGGAGAGGUAGAUGGAAUUUCUGGUGUAGGGGUAAAAUCCGUAGAGAUCAGAAGGAAUACCGAUUGCGAAGGCGAUCUACUAGAACAUUAUUGACGCUGAGACGCGAAAGCGUGGGGAGCAAACAGGAUUAGAUACCCUAGUAGUC